RNAcentral lists this ribosomal RNA (505 nucleotides) under uncultured bacterium. RNAcentral describes it as "partial 16S ribosomal RNA". It matches the Rfam family "Bacterial small subunit ribosomal RNA", at positions 29 to 522 of the family's 1533-position model. The record is from RNAcentral.
AUUGAACGCUGGCGGCAGGCCUAACACAUGCAAGUCGAACGGUAACAGGAAGCAGCUUGCUGCUUCGCUGACGAGUGGCGGACGGGUGAGUAAUGUCUGGGAAACUGCCUGAUGGAGGGGGAUAACUACUGGAAACGGUAGCUAAUACCGCAUAAUGUCGCAAGACCAAAGAGGGGGACCUUCGGGCCUCUUGCCAUCGGAUGUGCCCAGAUGGGAUUAGCUUGUUGGUGGGGUAACGGCUCACCAAGGCGAGGAUCCCUAGCUGGUCGGAGAGGAUGACAAGCCACACUGGAACGGAGACACGGGCCAGACUGCUACGGGAGGCAGCAGUGGGGAAUAUUGCACAAUGGGCGCAAGCCUGAUGCAGCCAUGCCGCGUGUAUGAAGAAGGCCUUCGGGUUGUAAAGUACUUUCAGCGGGGAGGAAGGUGUUGUGGUUAAUAACCGCAGCAAUUGACGUUACCCGCAGAAGAAGCACCGGCUAACUCCGUGCCAGCCGCCGCGGUA